GGAAUUUUCCGCAAUGGGCGAAAGCCUGACGGAGCAAUGCCGCGUGGAGGAUGAAGGCCUGUGGGUUGUAAUCUCCUUUUCUCAGAGAAGAAGUUCUGACGGUAUCUGAGGAAUAAGCAUCGGCUAACUCCGUGCCAGCAGCCGCGGUAAUACAGAGGAUGCAAGCGUUAUCCGGAAUCACUGGGCAUAAAGCGUCUGUAGGUGGUUUGGUAAGUCUGCUGUUAAAGACUGGGGCUCAACCCCAGAAAAGCAGUGGAAACUGCUAGACUUGAGUGUGGUAGAGGUAGAGGGAAUUCCUAGUGUAGCGGUGAAAUACGUAGAUAUUAGGAAGAACACCAAUGGCGAAGGCACUCUACUGGGCCAUAACUGACACUGAGAGACGACAGCUAGGGGAGCAAAUGGGAUUAGAUACCCCUGUAGUC
RNAcentral lists this ribosomal RNA (422 nucleotides) under uncultured eukaryotic phytoplankton. RNAcentral describes it as "bacterial SSU rRNA". It matches the Rfam family "Bacterial small subunit ribosomal RNA", at positions 358 to 795 of the family's 1533-position model. The record is from RNAcentral.